AUAAUGGUGUGUUUGUGGACACAUCAUCAAUUUCAAAAAAAAAAGAAAAAGAAGAUGAUAGUGACAAUGAAGAUGGAAGAAAUACAAAUCAAGAUAAAGUGCCAAAGAAGAUAGACCAUAUUGUGCAUUCAAUUGUUAGAAUCAACAAUGAAUACAAUGAAGAUAUUAAUGAUAAUGAUGAUGAUGAGGAAUAUCAACCUUUAAGUGAGAAAAAAUAAGCUUUAAGGAAGAAGAAAGCUUA
RNAcentral lists this long non-coding RNA (241 nucleotides) under Physcomitrium patens. Its description in RNAcentral is "long non-coding RNA (PPAT_LNC000421)". The record is from RNAcentral. Lineage: Eukaryota; Viridiplantae; Streptophyta; Bryopsida; Funariales; Funariaceae.